GGAAUUUUCCGCAAUGGGCGAAAGUCUGACGGAGCGACGCUGCGUGAAGGAUGACGGCCUGCGGGUUGUAAACUUCUUUUCUCGAAGAAGAAGCUCUGACGGUAUUCGAGGAAUAAGCAUCGGCUAACUCCGUGCCAGCAGCCGCGGUAAUACGGAGGAUGCAAGUGUUAUUCGGAAUGAUUGGGCGUAAAGCGUCUGUAGGCUGUAUAGAAAGUCUUUUGUUAAAUGCCUCGGCUCAACCGAGAUCCAGCAAAGGAAACUUCUAUACUUGAGGGAAGUAGAGGUACAGGGAAUUCCCGAUGGAGCGGUGAAAUGCGUAGAUAUCGGGAGGAACACCAAUAUGGCGAAGGCACUGCACUGGGCUUUACCUGACGCUCAGAGACGAAAGCUAAAGGAGUGAUUAGGAUUAGAUACCCCAGUAGUC
Molecule: ribosomal RNA, 424 nt
Filed under: uncultured eukaryotic phytoplankton
Lineage: Eukaryota
Description: bacterial SSU rRNA
Rfam family: Bacterial small subunit ribosomal RNA
Source: RNAcentral